RNAcentral lists this ribosomal RNA (478 nucleotides) under uncultured bacterium. RNAcentral's name for it is "bacterial SSU rRNA". It matches the Rfam family "Bacterial small subunit ribosomal RNA", at positions 36 to 524 of the family's 1533-position model. The record is from RNAcentral.
AAACCUGGCGGCGUGCCUAAUCAUGCAAGUCGAGCGAACCCUUCGGUGGUGAGCGGCGAACGGGUGAGUAACACGUAGGUGAUCUGCCCAUCAGACGGGGACAACGAUUGGAAACGAUCGCUAAUACCGGAUAGGACGAAAGUUUAAAGGUGCUCCUGGCACCGCUGAUGGAUGAGCCUGCGGCGCAUUAGCUAGUUGGUAGGGUAAAGGCCUACCAAGGCGACGAUGCGUAGCCGACCUGAGAGGGUGAACGGCCACACUGGGACUGAGACACGGCCCAGACUCCUACGGGAGGCAGCAGUAGGGAAUCUUCGGCAAUGGGCGAAAGCCUGACCGAGCAACGCCGCGUGAAUGAUGAAGGCCUUCGGGUUGUAAAAUUCUGUUAUAAGGGAAGAACGACUUUAGUAGGAAAUGGCUAAAGUGUGACGGUACCUUAUGAGAAAGCCACGGCUAACUACGUGCCAGCAGCCGCGGUAAU